UUUGACAAACUAUAAAAGGUCAAGCCUGCCCAGUGACAUUGUUCAACGGCCGCGGUAUCCUAACCGUGCGAAGGUAGCGUAAUCACUUGUUCUUUAAAUGAGGACUAGUAUGAACGGCUUCACGAAAGCUAUACUGUCUCCUUUAUCCAAUCAGUUAAACUAAUUUCCCCGUGAAGAAGCGGGGAUACCCAUAUAAGACGAGAAGACCCUAUGGAGCUUUAAAUAUCUUUAGACAUUUGAAUAUGCACAAAUCUUAAAAUCACUAAAUUCAUCAUUUUGUCUUAAGUUUUAGGUUGGGGCGACCACGGAGAAAAAACCAACCUCCACAUGGAAAGACUCCCUUCUAAGCAAAAAGCUACAUCUUUAUGCAUCAACACAUUGACCUUAAUUGACCCA
RNAcentral lists this ribosomal RNA (396 nucleotides) under Allobates sp. 'Lago Cipotuba'. RNAcentral's name for it is "partial 12S ribosomal RNA". It matches the Rfam family "Bacterial large subunit ribosomal RNA", at positions 1834 to 2380 of the family's 2925-position model. Lineage: Eukaryota; Metazoa; Chordata; Amphibia; Anura; Aromobatidae. The record is from RNAcentral.